CUGCCUUCUCCUUUAGGACACACCUGCUGUUCAUCUCCCCUUGUUUACCACCAAUUACCCUCCAGGGGUCCGUUCUUCGUACCUCGCUUACUACAUCCAAGAUCAAAUGACACAUCCAAGAUCAAAUCAUCGCGCUAACUUUGAGCUCGCUAAUCCGGUUCUCCGAACACACCUGUUGUUGACGAUUAGUAUAGCUGGAUGAAGUGAUCUGAGAUCACUGGGUGGCUUAAAAGGGGCUACGCAUCGAUAGUAGAAACAUUGAUCGGCAACCCUGUGAUUGGUCGGCGAAGAUGUCGAAGGAGCGCGCUCAGUAUUUUACGGCAGCAGAGCAAGAACUCUUGAUUGAGGGAUUUCAGGAGUUUCAGAGUUUAAUUAAAACGCAAGGGAACACUGCAAAGGCUGCAAAAGCAAGGAGAGAGGGCUGGCAGAAAGUUGCUGACAAAUUAAACUCCAACCAAGAAAAGGGCAGAGCAAAUAAAGACAGGUGGUGGUCCUGCACCCCCUCGUCACACCCCGGCAGAGGAGCUGGCCCUAGGGUUGAAUGCCACCAGACCCAUUGUUGAGGGCAUCCCUGGGGGCAGCUCUUCCUUAGACCAGCAGCCGGGGUGCAGUAGCAGCACCUUCAUAACUGGUAAAUGAGCUCAUAAUUCUAUUUGUACAAUGUAAAAUAUUUGGUUGUUGCCUUAAUUAAAAUGCUUAUUGUACUGUGACAUUUAUUGACAUUGUGGGUUUUUUGUGUGUAGUUUUACAUAACACUCCAUCACUUCUACCUGUUCCCAUGCAAGGGGUGACUGAAGCAUGCACAGUAAGUUGAUAUACAUAUAUAUAUAUAUAUAUAUAUAUAUCCCACAAUAUACGCUGAAUUCUGAAAACUCUCCUUAUCAAUCUUGCACCUUCCUUGCUCGCGUACAAACGGACAGGACAUGGCUGCAACAGACUUCCCAAAUCCACCUUCGCUUUUAUAGCCGUGGUCUCUCAUCUUGAUUACACGAAGUAAUUUACUAUUACUACUCUAAAUUAUGAAUUACAUCUGAAAUAAUCAAAUACAUGAAAUAGAAUGAUUAAUAGUACAUUUCCCUUUUUUUUAGGAAAUGACCUGUAUGUAUCUGUAUGAAAUCAAUAAAAGAAUCAAAUACUGCAUUAUCUUUAGUUACAUUGAUAAUAUUUAUUUAUGGAAAAACAGUGGAGAAAUGUCGCUGUUG
Molecule: long non-coding RNA, 1202 nt
Organism: Oreochromis aureus
Lineage: Eukaryota; Metazoa; Chordata; Actinopteri; Cichliformes; Cichlidae
Source: Ensembl